GCAGUAACACAGGAAUUAUGAUAGAUCAAAACUGCAAAUCUCUCGGCAGUUUCGGUAGUACAGACUCGAAAAAGGGGGAGAAACAAAAAAGGAAAAAGAUACCGGACGACCAAACUAGUACAGGUAAAGACCAGCGCGUAAUCCUGGCUGCCACACCAAAUUAUACCAAUCACUAAGCCGCCGGGCGGCGACAUGGCUUUGCUGCAGCAAUUGCCAAAGCCUUCUUAUCUUCUUCUGCAUCUUCUUCUUCUUCUAAGGAAGCAGCCAGUCACUCACUGAUCAGACACACAUCCACGAGCAGGAGCAGCAGCAGCAGCAGUGCUUGCGGGUAACAUCAGCAGCAAGAGGUAGAUGAUAAGCACGGAGACGGACACUCUUCUUCUCUAAGCGGACGCCUUGUCGAACUUGAGGGGCUUCACCACCUCCCAGGUGAAGUCGGUGUCGUCGCGCCCGAAGUGACCGUAGGCCGCGGUCUUGAUGAACCUGUUGCCGCCCUUCUUGAGGUCGAG
This 509-nucleotide long non-coding RNA is filed under the name Setaria italica (foxtail millet). RNAcentral's name for it is "long non-coding RNA (SITA_LNC003629)". Lineage: Eukaryota; Viridiplantae; Streptophyta; Magnoliopsida; Poales; Poaceae. The record is from RNAcentral.